Molecule: ribosomal RNA, 954 nt
Filed under: Salmonella enterica
Lineage: Bacteria; Pseudomonadati; Pseudomonadota; Gammaproteobacteria; Enterobacterales; Enterobacteriaceae
Description: bacterial SSU rRNA
Rfam family: Bacterial small subunit ribosomal RNA
Source: RNAcentral
UAAAGCGCACGCAGGCGGUCUGUCAAGUCGGAUGUGAAAUCCCCGGGCUCAACCUGGGAACUGCAUUCGAAACUGGCAGGCUUGAGUCUUGUAGAGGGGGGUAGAAUUCCAGGUGUAGCGGUGAAAUGCGUAGAGAUCUGGAGGAAUACCGGUGGCGAAGGCGGCCCCCUGGACAAAGACUGACGCUCAGGUGCGAAAGCGUGGGGAGCAAACAGGAUUAGAUACCCUGGUAGUCCACGCCGUAAACGAUGUCUACUUGGAGGUUGUGCCCUUGAGGCGUGGCUUCCGGAGCUAACGCGUUAAGUAGACCGCCUGGGGAGUACGGCCGCAAGGUUAAAACUCAAAUGAAUUGACGGGGGCCCGCACAAGCGGUGGAGCAUGUGGUUUAAUUCGAUGCAACGCGAAGAACCUUACCUGGUCUUGACAUCCACAGAACUUUCCAGAGAUGGAUUGGUGCCUUCGGGAACUGUGAGACAGGUGCUGCAUGGCUGUCGUCAGCUCGUGUUGUGAAAUGUUGGGUUAAGUCCCGCAACGAGCGCAACCCUUAUCCUUUGUUGCCAGCGGUCCGGCCGGGAACUCAAAGGAGACUGCCAGUGAUAAACUGGAGGAAGGUGGGGAUGACGUCAAGUCAUCAUGGCCCUUACGACCAGGGCUACACACGUGCUACAAUGGCGCAUACAAAGAGAAGCGACCUCGCGAGAGCAAGCGGACCUCAUAAAGUGCGUCGUAGUCCGGAUUGGAGUCUGCAACUCGACUCCAUGAAGUCGGAAUCGCUAGUAAUCGUGGAUCAGAAUGCCACGGUGAAUACGUUCCCGGGCCUUGUACACACCGCCCGUCACACCAUGGGAGUGGGUUGCAAAAGAAGUAGGUAGCUUAACCUUCGGGAGGGCGCUUACCACUUUGUGAUUCAUGACUGGGGUGAAGUCGUAACAAGGUAACCGUAGGGGAACCUGC